RNAcentral lists this unclassified non-coding RNA (523 nucleotides) under Hevea brasiliensis (rubber tree). The record is from RNAcentral. Lineage: Eukaryota; Viridiplantae; Streptophyta; Magnoliopsida; Malpighiales; Euphorbiaceae.
CAUUGAAGUAGAUAAUUACAUUGAUUUUUCAAAAAGCCUUCCUUUCCUCAACUAAACCCCGCGUUUUCUUCUCCCUCCCUCUUCCUCCUACCCAACCCAAUCAUUUCCCGCUGGACCUCCAUCUCCCCAUCCUUCUCCACCGCCGUUCACCGCCCAGAAAGGCCGAAACCCUUCUUUCGCCACAAUUCAGAACCACCUUACACCUUUCUUCCCUUUUGUUUUUUCUCUCAAGCCUUUAAGCAUCACAGAGUAUGGGAAACUGUAACACCUGUGUGAGACCAGACUCCAGCCCGGAGUCCAAGACGCACCGUACAAAUCACAGACGCAAGAAGAAGUCCAAAGAUCGGAAGCCAAAUCCAUAUGCGGAGGAAUCUGUCCGAUCCCCGGCUCCGAUCCGGGUAUUGAAAGACGUGAUUCCCCUCAGCCACCGGCCUCGGAUUGGUGACAAGUACAUCCUGGGCCGUGAACUCGGCCGGGGAGAAUUCGGCAUCACAUAUUUGUGUACUGACCGAGAGACUAAAGA